This 253-nucleotide ribosomal RNA is filed under the name uncultured bacterium. RNAcentral describes it as "partial 16S ribosomal RNA". It matches the Rfam family "Bacterial small subunit ribosomal RNA", at positions 524 to 776 of the family's 1533-position model. The record is from RNAcentral.
UACGGAGGGGGCUAGCGUUGUUCGGAAUUACUGGGCGUAAAGCGCACGUAGGCGGCUUUGUAAGUUAGAGGUGAAAGCCCGGGGCUCAACUCCGGAAUUGCCUUUAAGACUGCAUCGCUAGAAUUGUGGAGAGGUAAGUGGAAUUCCGAGUGUAGAGGUGAAAUUCGUAGAUAUCUGGAGGAACACCGGUGGCGAAGGCGGCGUUCUGGACUGCAACUGACACUGAGGAACGAAAGCCAGGGGAGCAAACGGG